UUGAUUCGUUUGUGUAUUCCUCUGAGAUGCCAACGCAAGAGCCAAGAGUAUGGGGGCCGCCGGCGGGCUGAGCGCUCCGGGGCCCGCGAGGGGGGACACCCGGGGCACCCGCCGAGGCAACGAUGGGUAGGUUCACAGUGGUUGUACGGGAGUCUUGCGAGUCCUGUAAUGAUCCCUCCGCUGGUUCACCAACGGAGA
This 198-nucleotide unclassified non-coding RNA is filed under the name uncultured fungus. RNAcentral's name for it is "sequence contains ITS1". The record is from RNAcentral. Lineage: Eukaryota; Fungi.